UAAAGAAAGCGUAAUAGCUCACUGGUCGAGUCGGCCUGCGCGGAAGAUGUAACGGGGCUAAACCAUGCACCGAAGCUGCGGCAGCGACACUAUGUGUUGUUGGGUAGGGGAGCGUUCUGUAAGCCUGCGAAGGUGUGCUGUGAGGUAUGCUGGAGGUAUCAGAAGUGCGAAUGCUGACAUAAGUAACGAUAAAGCGGGUGAAAAGCCCGCUCGCCGGAAGAC
RNAcentral lists this ribosomal RNA (222 nucleotides) under Escherichia coli. RNAcentral's name for it is "partial 23S ribosomal RNA". It matches the Rfam family "Bacterial large subunit ribosomal RNA", at positions 1124 to 1345 of the family's 2925-position model. The record is from RNAcentral. Lineage: Bacteria; Pseudomonadati; Pseudomonadota; Gammaproteobacteria; Enterobacterales; Enterobacteriaceae.